RNAcentral lists this long non-coding RNA (853 nucleotides) under Homo sapiens (human). RNAcentral describes it as "HSALNT0189793". The record is from RNAcentral. Lineage: Eukaryota; Metazoa; Chordata; Mammalia; Primates; Hominidae.
ACCCGGCGCUCCAUUAAAUAGCCGUAGACGGAACUUCGCCUUUCUCUCGGCCUUAGCGCCAUUUUUUUGGGUGAGUGUUUUUUGGUUCCUGCGUUGGGAUUCCGUGUACAAUCCAUAGACAUCUGACCUCGGCACUUAGCAUCAUCACAGCAAACUAACUGUAGCCUUUCUCUCUUUCCCUGUAGAAACCUCUGCGCCAUGAGAGCCAAGUGGAGGAAGAAGCGAAUGCGCAGGUACGUUGAGACUUUGCCAGCCCAGGAGGAGGGAAGUUCCUUGGACAAAACUUAGGAGAAACAUUUGGUUUGGAAAUCUUAAAAGAUCUUUAGGAGAAAAACGUUUGAGUGUUUUCUCCCUGGAGCCAGGAUUUAACAGAACAGAGAACGAUAGAACCGUAGUGCUUGUUCAUUUUACCACCUCAUUCUUUAUGUGGACGUUUGAUUUAAUGUGGGAGGGAAAGGCAACUCUGGUUUGAGGUGUAUUCCAUUCCUGUGUCUGCUUUUCAGGCUGAAGCGCAAAAGAAGAAAGAUGAGGCAGAGGUCCAAGUAAACCGCUAGCUUGUUGCACCGUGGAGGCCACAGGAGCAGAAACAUGGAAUGCCAGACGCUGGGGAUGCUGGUACAAGUUGUGGGACUGCAUGCUACUGUCUAGAGCUUGUCUCAAUGGAUCUAGAACUUCAUCGCCCUCUGAUCGCCGAUCACCUCUGAGACCCACCUUGCUCAUAAACAAAAUGCCCAUGUUGGUCCUCUGCCCUGGACCUGUGACAUUCUGGACUAUUUCUGUGUUUAUUUGUGGCCGAGUGUAACAACCAUAUAAUAAAUCACCUCUUCCGCUGUUUUAGCUGAAGAAUUAAAUC